This 253-nucleotide ribosomal RNA is filed under the name uncultured bacterium. RNAcentral's name for it is "partial 16S ribosomal RNA". It matches the Rfam family "Bacterial small subunit ribosomal RNA", at positions 524 to 776 of the family's 1533-position model. The record is from RNAcentral.
UACGGAGGGUGCGAGCGUUAUUCGGAUUUAUUGGGCGUAAAGGGCGCGUAGGCGGCCUAGCAAGUCUGGUGUGAAAGCCCAGGGCUCAACCCUGGAAGGGCACUGGAAACUGUUAGGCUUGAGUUCCGGAGAGGAGGGGGGAAUUCCCGGUGUAGCGGUGAAAUGCGUAGAUAUCGGGAGGAAUACCGGUGGCGAAGGCGCCCCUCUGGACGGAAACUGACGCUGAGGCGCGAAAGCGUGGGGAGCAAACAGG